CUCCCACUGUGGAGGAGAGGAGGAGACCAGCAUCAGCACACCUGGCUCUACAGCUGCCUGACAGGUGUUCUGGUGGUCCUUUGCUCCACCCUCACAGGUAGGCUCCUCCCCUCCUCACCGUCCAUGGCGGCCUUCUCCUCCUGCACGUGCUGCAGCUGCUUCAGCAGCUUCCUCCUCUUCUUCCCGGACAGGGUGAUGUUGGACCUGGCGCUGGACCUGCGGGGGGAGGAGCGGAGGUGAGCUCAGGUGUGGCAGUGGGCGGAGCUGCGGGCGGAGCUCGGACCUUCUCUUCUUCAGGUGGUGCACCGUGAUGAGCCCCCGGUCCACCACGGCCCCCACCACGCGGUGCUUUCUCCUCCUCUCGCGGCCCUGAACCCUCCGCCGCUUGAAGAGCUUCUUCCCGAGCUCCUGCAGGAGAAGCAGCGGAUCAGAGCUCCGUCUGACCCCCGCCCGAGAGGAGCUCCGAGCCGCACGGCGGUCCGUGAACGCCGCACGGCGGUCCGUGAACGCCUCACGGGCGUCACUGCACCAAAUGUCAAAAACAACCCGGGAAAGUGUCUUUCUCACCGUCUUCGGUCUGUUGAUCUUCCCUCCUGGGGGAGACAUGCUGCCAGAACCCGCUCACGUGCUGCUGCUGCCUCUUCUUCUGCGUGUUUCUGCACGUUCUGGCCUCUGCCGCCCCCUGCAGGUCAGGGUGAGCACGACAGCGAGAGCGCCCGGACCUGAGACCCAAUGAGCCGCCUCACUGACUGUAUAAUUUAUGUCAUUAUUAGACAUUAAUAUAUGUCUAUGACCCGCCUAUGUCUUGGUUUCCAUGGUUACCAUUAAAGAAGGUUUUGACGCGUUUCUUCUGUUCAUGUUGAAGCAACACUGACAUCUGGUGGACACAGCAGGAACUGCAGCUUCUGGAUUCCAGUUCAUGACUUUGUUUGUUUUUAUCCCGCGUGAGCGAAAAUGAAAACAAGAACCGUUUCCUCUGCAAACAGCUGAUCAGAACCAGAACCCAUCUGAAGGAGAUCCUCUACGGUGAAGGAGGAGAGCAACGACACCGGAGCGCCGCAGGACGUCACCUUCAGUGUGUUCAACGGUCCUCACAACAGCACAUAAACACACACACCCGUCUGGUUCUGAUGAUCCGUUUCCUCUGAAGUUCGCAUCUCUCAGAUUCUGUAGAACAGGACGCAGAUUCAGCUUCAGUUCAGGGGUUUUUACUCAAACCCAGAGAGCAUCUUAACAUUCUCUGCAGGAACUGAGGAGCAGAAACGACCAGAACCUUCAUCGGAUCAUUCUGGGAAGAACCCAGAAGAACCUCGGAUCAUUCUGGAAGAAAAGAAGAAUUUCAGCUGGAAGGAUUCCUCUGACAUCAUCAUGAUGACGCCGUCCAUCUACAGACGUCCUGCAGCGGUCUUCAAGCUCCGGAUCCCGGAUCCUGGCUGGGAUCUGCAGGAUCGAGGAGGAUCUUCAGGAGACCCAGGAACUCGGACAGAUUACCUCUGCUGGUUCUGGAACAGGUCCAGAACCACAAAUAAACAGGUUCUCCAAGAACUUCUCUGGAACUGCCCAAAGUCUCACCAGCAGAACCAGAGGUCCAAACUCAGAACUUCUCAGAACCUGUCAGGUCCUCAGUUUGCAUCAGAGCUUCAGCACACACACACACACUCACACUCACUUGAGUCUGCGCCUCCUUCUUCUCCUGGUGGGAGGGGUCCUGUGUUGCUCCUCGGAGGAGCACGUCUGCGUCUGCUCGGGUUCGGGGGGGAAAGCCUUUUAAAGGCAGAGAGCCCCUCCCCCUGACAUCACCCCCCCUCGCAGACUCAGUGUAAAUGGAUGGAUUUACUCACUCUCUGCCCCCACACCCUCAGCCCCUCCCCCGCUGUCAGGGAGGGAGGGGCUGGACCGGCUCUGCAGAAUGUGCGGGUCAGAACUUUUUGACCGAUACGGGUCGUUCCAGCCCCCCCAGUGGCCCUGACCUUUAUCAGUUGAUGGAAGCAGACGUGGGGGGUGGGGGGGCGUCAUUCUGUCGUCAGAGACCGGGGGGCGGAGCUAACAGAAAACACCUUCUAUAGGACUGUUAGGUUCAGGACGGUCCUGCUGUGGUGGAGUGGACGGCGACGCGCGGGAGCAGCUGCACAAUUCUACUGCAGGAGGUGCUUCUCCUCCUUGAGGAGCACUGAGGAGCUCUGUGAUUCUCCUCCUCCUUGGUUCUCCUCCUCCUUGGUUCUCCUCCUCUGUUGUUCUCCUUCUCCUUGGUUCUCCUCCUCCGUGGUUCUCC
Molecule: long non-coding RNA, 2272 nt
Organism: Oryzias melastigma (Indian medaka)
Lineage: Eukaryota; Metazoa; Chordata; Actinopteri; Beloniformes; Adrianichthyidae
Exons: 4
Source: RefSeq, a predicted model, not a curated record